This 361-nucleotide ribosomal RNA is filed under the name uncultured bacterium. Its description in RNAcentral is "bacterial SSU rRNA". It matches the Rfam family "Bacterial small subunit ribosomal RNA", at positions 28 to 379 of the family's 1533-position model. The record is from RNAcentral.
GAUGAACGCUAGCUACAGGCUUAACACAUGCAAGUCGAGGGGCAGCAUGAACUUAGCUUGCUAAGUUUGAUGGCGACCGGCGCACGGGUGAGUAACACGUAUCCAACCUUCCGUUUACUCAGGGAUAGCCUUUCGAAAGAAAGAUUAAUACCUGAUAGUAUGGUGAGAUUGCAUGAUAGCACCAUUAAAGAUUUAUUGGUAAACGAUGGGGAUGCGUUCCAUUAGGUAGUAGGCGGGGUAACGGCCCACCUAGCCGACGAUGGAUAGGGGUUCUGAGAGGAGGUCCCCACAUUGGAACUGAGACACGGUACCAAACUCCUACGGGAGGCAGCAGUGAGGGAAUAUUGGGUCAAUGGGCGAG